AGUGGCAUGAGGCGAACCGGGGGAACUGAAACAUCUAAGUACCCCGAGGAAAAGAAAUCAACCGAGAUUCCCCCAGUAGCGGCGAGCGAACGGGGAGGAGCCCAGAACCUGAAUCGGCUUGUGUGUUAGUGGAAGCGUCUGGAAAGUCGCGCAGCAAAGGGUGAUAGCCCCGUACACUAAAAUGCACAGGUCGUGAGUUCGAUGAGUAGGGCGGGACACGUGACAUCCUGUCUGAAUAUGGGGGGACCAUCCUCCAAGGCUAAAUACUCCUGACUGACCGAUAGUGAACCAGUACCGUGAGGGAAAGGC
This 309-nucleotide ribosomal RNA is filed under the name Serratia marcescens. RNAcentral describes it as "bacterial LSU rRNA". It matches the Rfam family "Bacterial large subunit ribosomal RNA", at positions 168 to 514 of the family's 2925-position model. The record is from RNAcentral. Lineage: Bacteria; Pseudomonadati; Pseudomonadota; Gammaproteobacteria; Enterobacterales; Yersiniaceae.